AAUACUCCUAUUAUACUUUUACCAACUUCUCCAAUUGAAAACUUACCAUCGCAUUUCGUCGAACCCCAUCAAUAAUACUGAUCCUUUGCCCAUGAUUAGCGUUCUUGCUCAGGAGCGUCGGCGCUGGGGAGCGUUGCAGCUGAAAUCGCGUUUUUCGAGCAUCGUAAAAGCAUCUAUAAAUCAAUUUCUGAUGCACAAAAUCCGGUGAUUUUUCUUGUUUCUUUGUUUUCGCUUUCUUUCCUUCCUCUUUGUUGGUUAAGUUAUCUUUCUUUGUUUCGUUGAUUCUUCACCUCUUCCAACUGAUAUCUCCUUCUUCAUUAAUCUAGCAUUAUGUGAAAUUGAUGAAGGAAUCCAUGGAAUUGGUAAUAUUUUGGUAAAAUCAGGGCUGAACUUUGAAUAUGCUUUGAACUUCCUUGCGUUUUAUCUGUCUCGGUAGCACUCCAGACCACUUUAGUUUCAAAAGUUUAUGACCUCUCGUAAUCGACAAUAAAGAAAUCGUGAUAUAAUGACUUCAAACAUUUCAAACUUAUUUUUCUGCUUUCUGAUAUAAAAAGUGCAUCUCUUCUUACUGUAUAAUAAAAACUCUACAUUUUGAAAAAAAAAAUAAGCCAAGAGAAGCCAUAUUUGGAAGAAGCUCCCGUCUAGAGUUUGCUCGGAUAUGGAACAAGUCUGUGGACAAGACUCUGCGACCUGUCAUUGAGUCUCUUAGCUCAAAUGGAUGGUAGGAUUGUUCUUAUAACCAGAUCACUCUUACGAGGGCUAAUUUAUUUUUACACGAUCGUGCUUACAGUGGCCUUAUGAUUAGUACUUUUCUGUUUUAGAUUCAUCAGGCGGAACUGGGCCUUUCUUGGUGACAAACAAUACUCAGUUCUUGUCAAUAAACAGAACCAGCUUUGACUGAUAAUAAUAAACUGAAUAUUUUCGAAUACUUGUGAGUUAUCAUUAGACCGUCAGACGCUAUUCUAGAAUCUUAAUAUCUUUGACUUGAUUUGUUAGGUUGGUGAUGCACUGGUUGUAGCAUGUAGAAUGUGCUUAUUAUUUUUCCAAUGUAAGAUCCUACCGUUGUGAUUGCAUCUGUUCUUCUCAUGAAUAACGUGCAAGUCAUGUAAACCAACUCUACUAUCAGUCACUAAAUUAAAUUGAAUGAACCAAAUGCAUGAUGAAAUAAACAACUAACUCUACUAGAUAAAAAGUGGGAAAUAAGUAUGGAGAGAGAGAGAGAGAAAACAAGUGUCUAGACUGCAGUGCAUCCCAGAACAGAGACAACGGGCGAGUUACAUAUGCUCUAACCACAUCCUCACACCACUUGUGUAACCACAUUACACAUCUGGUUCAAGACCGUAUUUGGCUCUCUCUGCAUUGACUUGCCUCUUAAAUAUGACAUAAUAAAUUCCUGCUGUGAAGAGGAUAGCAAAAAUGAAGCCUACAGGAAUCCCAGCAAUGCCACCAGCUGCAAUAGCUCUCCGAGCUGUGGAUCUCUCGUGAGCUGAAGUGGACUGCCCGGUUGCAGCUAGAGGCAGUGAAGAACAAUCUGGUAAAUUACACAGGUUUGUGUUUGGCCGUUGUGUGUUGGGGUGCAAGUAUGCGUACAUUUCAGGGGAGAGCACGAUAGGGCUGUUAUGGUCCUCGAGGCCAUGAGCUCGAAAUUCAGCUGUGGAAACUGAGAGGAAGAAAAGAAUGGCAAAUAUGAGAGAAGAGGCCAUUUGAUCAGGUUAGAUGAUGUCUCUCACGUUUUCUAUGAGUAAGUAGUGUUUGCCUGUUUGAAUAUGGACUUGUGCUUUAUAUAGGGUGCAAUACAAUGAGGAAAUUGUUGCUUGUAGUCGAAUCUAGUCUUCGAGUUGGCUCAAGGGAUAUACACAUUUAUCAUAUUCAUAAUUACUUUAUUCAUCCUUCAUUAUUUAUAAUCAUGAUACAAAGGAUUAAUGA
Long non-coding RNA from Salvia miltiorrhiza (redroot sage), 1926 nucleotides. RefSeq lists it as uncharacterized. Lineage: Eukaryota; Viridiplantae; Streptophyta; Magnoliopsida; Lamiales; Lamiaceae. The record is from RefSeq and is a predicted model, not a curated record. The transcript is spliced from 2 exons.